Molecule: ribosomal RNA, 102 nt
Filed under: Ligilactobacillus salivarius
Lineage: Bacteria; Bacillati; Bacillota; Bacilli; Lactobacillales; Lactobacillaceae
Description: Lactobacillus salivarius partial 23S ribosomal RNA
Rfam family: Bacterial large subunit ribosomal RNA
Source: RNAcentral
GUAAGUAAGAUCCCUGAAAGAUGAUCAGGUAGAUAGGAUGGAAGUGGAAGUGCUGCGAGGCAUGGAGCGGACCAUUACUAAUCGAUCGAGGACUUAACCAAG